Molecule: ribosomal RNA, 497 nt
Filed under: uncultured bacterium
Lineage: Bacteria
Description: partial 16S ribosomal RNA
Rfam family: Bacterial small subunit ribosomal RNA
Source: RNAcentral
GAUGAACGCUGGCGGCGUGCCUAAUACAUGCAAGUCGAGCGAACAGACGAUGAGCUUGCUCCUCUGACGUUAGCGGCGGACGGGUGAGUAACACGUGGAUAACCUACCUAUAAGACUGGGAUAACUUCGGGAAACCGGGGCUAAUACCGGAUAAUAUAUUGAACCGCAUUGUUCAAUAGUGAAAGACGGUUUUGCUGUCACUUAUCGAUGGAUCCGCGCCGAAUUAUCUAGUUGGUAAGGGAACGGCUUACCAAGGACACGAUACGUGGCCGACCUGAGAGGGGGAUGGCCCACACUGGAACUGAGAAACGCUCCAGACUCCUACGGGGGGCAGCAGUGGGGAAUCUUCGGCAAGGGGCGAAAGCCGGACGGAGCAACGCCGCGUGAGUGAUGAGGGUCUUCGGACCGUAAGACUCUGUUAUUAGGGAAGAACAGAUGUGUAAGUAACUGUGCACGUCGUGACGGUACCUAAUCAGAAAGCCACGGCUAACUACGUG